Molecule: ribosomal RNA, 429 nt
Filed under: Chloroflexota bacterium
Lineage: Bacteria; Bacillati; Chloroflexota
Description: Chloroflexi bacterium partial 16S ribosomal RNA
Rfam family: Bacterial small subunit ribosomal RNA
Source: RNAcentral
UGGGGAAUAUUGCACAAUGGGCGCAAGCCUGAUGCAGCCAUGCCGCGUGUAUGAAGAAGGCCUUCGGGUUGUAAAGUACUUUCAGCGGGGAGGAAGGGAGUAAAGUUAAUACCUUUGCUCAUUGACGUUACCCGCAGAAGAAGCACCGGCUAACUCCGUGCCAGCAGCCGCGGUAAUACGGAGGGUGCGAGCGUUAAUCGGAAUUACUGGGCGUAAAGCGCACGCAGGCGGUUUGUUAAGUCAGAUGUGAAAUCCUCGGGCUCAACCUGGGAACUGCAUCUGAUACUGGCAAGCUUGAGUCUCGUAGAGGGGGGUAGAAUUCCAGGUGUAGCGGUGAAAUGCGUAGAGAUCUGGAGGAAUACCGGUGGCGAAGGCGGCCCCCUGGACGAAGACUGACGCUCAGGUGCGAAAGCGUGGGGAGCAAACAGG